UACAGAGGUCUCAAGCGUUGUUCGGAUUCAUUGGGCGUAAAGGGCGCGUAGGCGGCGGGGUAAGUCGGGUGUGAAAUCUCAGAGCUCAACUCUGAAACUGCACUCGAUACUGCUUUGCUUGAGGACUGGAGAGGAGACUGGAAUUUACGGUGUAGCGGUGAAAUGCGUAGAUAUCGUAAGGAAGACCAGUGGCGAAGGCGGGUCUCUGGACAGUUCCUGACGCUGAGGCACGAAGGCCAGGGGAGCAAACGGG
Molecule: ribosomal RNA, 253 nt
Filed under: uncultured bacterium
Lineage: Bacteria
Description: partial 16S ribosomal RNA
Rfam family: Bacterial small subunit ribosomal RNA
Source: RNAcentral